Molecule: ribosomal RNA, 497 nt
Filed under: uncultured bacterium
Lineage: Bacteria
Description: partial 16S ribosomal RNA
Rfam family: Bacterial small subunit ribosomal RNA
Source: RNAcentral
GAUGAACGCUGGCGGCGUGCCUAAUACAUGCAAGUCGAGCGAACAGAUGAGGAGCUUGCUCCUCUGACGUUAGCGGCGGACGGGUGAGUAACACGUGGAUAACCUACCUAUAAGACUGGGAUAACUUCGGGAAACCGGAGCUAAUACCGGAUAAUAUAUUGAACCGCAUGGUUCAAUAGUGAAAGACGGUUUUGCUGUCCCUUAUAGAUGGAUCCGCGCCGCAUUAGCUAGUUGGUAAGGUAACGGCUUACCAAGGCUACGAUGCGUAGCCGACCUGUGAGGGUGGUCGGCCCCAACUGAACUGAGGCACGGUCCCGGCUCCUAAGGGGAGGCGCAGGAGGGAAUCUUUCGCAAUGGGGGGAAGCCUUAAGGAACAACGCCGGGGUGGGUAAGGAGGGUCUCCGGUCGUAAAACCCUUUUAUUAGGGAAGAACAAAUGUGUAAGUAACUAUGCACGUCUUGACGGUACCUAAUCAGAAAGCCACGGCUAACUACGUG